GCCUAAAGCGUCCGUAGCCUGCUUUGUCAGUUUUCGGUUAAAUCCAUACGCUCAACGUAUGGGCUGCCGGAAAUACUGCAAAGCUAGGGAGUGGGAGAGGUAGACGGUACUCGGGAGGAAGGGGUAAAAUCCUUUGAUCUCUCGAUGACCACCUGUGGCGAAGGCGGUCUACCAGAACACGUCCGACGGUGAGGGAUGAAAGCUGGGGGAGCAAACCGGAUUAGAUACCCGGGUAGUCCCAGCUGUAAACUAUGCAAACUCAGUGAUGCAUUGGCUUGAUGCCAAUGCAGUGUUGCAGGGAAGCCGUUAAGUUUGCCGCCUGGGAAGUACGUACGCAAGUAUGAAACUUAAAGGAAUUGGCGGGGGAGCACCACAAGGGGUGAAGCCUGCGGUUCAAUUGGAGUCAACGCCAGAAAUCUUACCCGGAGAGACAGCAGAAUGAAGGUCAAGCUGAAGACUUUACCAGACAAGCUGAGAGGUGGUGCAUGGCCGCCGCCAGCUCGUGCCGUGAGAUGUCCUGUUAAGUCAGGUAACGAGCGAGAUCCCUGCCUCUAGUUGCCACCAUUACUCUCAGGAGUAGUGGGGCGAAUUAGCGGGACCGCCACAGUUAAUGUGGAGGAAGGAAGGGGCCACGACAGGUCAGUAUGCCCCGAA
Molecule: ribosomal RNA, 654 nt
Filed under: uncultured archaeon
Lineage: Archaea
Description: bacterial SSU rRNA
Rfam family: Archaeal small subunit ribosomal RNA
Source: RNAcentral